RNAcentral lists this ribosomal RNA (421 nucleotides) under uncultured bacterium. Its description in RNAcentral is "bacterial SSU rRNA". It matches the Rfam family "Bacterial small subunit ribosomal RNA", at positions 355 to 774 of the family's 1533-position model. The record is from RNAcentral.
UAAGGAAUAUUGGUCAAUGGACGCAAGUCUGAACCAGCCAUGCCGCGUGAAGGAUGAAGGUCCUCUGGAUUGUAAACUUCUUUUAUCUGGGACGAAAACGGGAUUUUUAUCUCAAUUGACGGUACCAGAGGAAUAAGCACCGGCUAACUCCGUGCCAGCAGCCGCGGUAAUACGGAGGGUGCGAGCGUUAUCCGGAUUUACUGGGUUUAAAGGGUGCGUAGGUGGGCUUAUAAGUCAGUGGUGAAAUCUCCGAGCUUAACUUGGAAACUGCCGUUGAUACUAUAGGUCUUGAAUUAUCUGGAGGUAAGCGGAAUAUGUCAUGUAGCGGUGAAAUGCUUAGAUAUGACAUAGUACACCAAUUGCGAAGGCAGCUUACUACAUAUAAAUUGACGCUGAGGCACGAAAGCGUGGGGAUCAAACA